CCUACGGGUGGCAGCAGUGGGGGAUAUUGCACAAUGGGCGAAAGCCUGAUGCAGCGACGCCGCGUGAGGGAAGACGGUCUUCGGAUUGUAAACCUCUGUCUUUGGGGAAGAAGAUGACGGUAACCAAAGAGGAAGCUCCGGCUAACUACGUGCCAGCAGCCGCGGGAAUACGUAGUGAGCGAGGGUUGUCCGGAAAUACUGGGUGGAAAGGGAGCGUAGGCGGGGAUGCAAGUAGGAUGUUUACACUAUGGGCCCAACCGGUAAUGGCAAGCAAAACUGCAAAUCUUGAGUGAAUGAGAGGCAGGCGGAAUGCCGAGUGUAGCGGUGAAAUGCGUAGAUAUUAGGAGGAACACCAGUGGCGAAGGCGGCUUGCUGGGCUUUAACUGACGCUGAGGCUCGAAAGCGUGGGGAGCAAACAGGAUUAGAUACCCCGGUAGUC
Molecule: ribosomal RNA, 439 nt
Filed under: uncultured bacterium
Lineage: Bacteria
Description: partial 16S ribosomal RNA
Rfam family: Bacterial small subunit ribosomal RNA
Source: RNAcentral